RNAcentral lists this unclassified non-coding RNA (915 nucleotides) under Hevea brasiliensis (rubber tree). Lineage: Eukaryota; Viridiplantae; Streptophyta; Magnoliopsida; Malpighiales; Euphorbiaceae. The record is from RNAcentral.
GAACAACAGCAGGUGGAGCUACCAGGGCAAGAGUAACGGUUGUCACAAACAACUGGGGGCUUCACAGGAGACGGAGGAGAAGGGCCAGGAUUUGGGGGGUUCGGGCCAUUCUUUAUGGGGUAGGAUGCCUCCAUUGCGAUCCCACACUUGCCGGUAGUCGCGUUGACAUUGCGCUCCAUCUUGACGUAUCCAGACUCUCCCCAGUGUGGUCCCCAUGAGUUCCUCACAAUCCAGUAGUCCUUCCCAUUGUCUGUGCCGUAGCCCACAGCUACCACACCAUGGUCAAGAUCAGUCCCACAUCUACCAGUGAAUACUCCCGAUCUAUACAGCUGAAACGCCCUACCACCACCCUCGAUAGCAACACUAACAGGCUGGUGCGCAACCGCCGACAUGAGAGCCUUCUCGUCAUUCACCGGCACAUCCUCAUAUGAGUCGAUUGUCACAACCUUGGCAUUCUUCCUGUACACAUCACACUGGCCGUCGUCGGCCUUGUAAGGAUAAUCCUCCUCAGUAUCAAUACCCCCGUUCUUGAUGAUGAACUGAAAUCCAUAAUCCAUAAGCCCCCCAUUGCAUCCCUGAUUAUAGCUAGUGUCACAAUCCACCAACUCCUGCUCCGACAGCGAGAUCAGCUCGCCGGUCACAAUCUGGUUGAUCCCCUCCACCGCUCCCACCGUCGAGAAAGCCCAGCAGCUCCCACAGCUGCCUUGAUCCUUGACAGGGGCGACGGCGCCCUUAUCACGCCAAUCAACCGACUCCGGCAGCUUGUCGCCUCCGGCGACUCGAUACCGGUCGCUCCCGGCUCCUCUCUCGCGGCGGCCGGCGGCGCGGACACCGAGGAAGCGAGCACGGAACUCGUCGUUUGUGAUGUCUGCGAAGCGAUUGAGGCCGAGGCGGAAGGAGUGAUCGCCGGCGUUG